This 393-nucleotide ribosomal RNA is filed under the name uncultured bacterium. RNAcentral's name for it is "partial 16S ribosomal RNA". It matches the Rfam family "Bacterial small subunit ribosomal RNA", at positions 523 to 918 of the family's 1533-position model. The record is from RNAcentral.
AUACGGGGGAUUCAAGCGUUAUCCGGACUUAUUGGGUUUAAAGGGUGCGUAGGCUGAUAAAUCAGUCAGCGGUGAAAUUUACGGGCUUAACUUGUAGCUUGCCGUUGAAACUAUUUAUCUAGAGAUAUUUCGGCGUAAGCGGAAUGUAUCAAGUAGCGGUGAAAUGCAUAGAUAUGCUACAGAACACCAAUCGCGAAGGCAGCAUACGAGGCAUCAUCUGACGCUGAUGCACGAAAGCGUGGGGAUCAAACAGGAUUAGAUACCCUGGUAGUCCACGCAGUAAACGAUGAUUACUCGCUGUUUGCGAUACACAGCAAGCGGCUUAGCGAAAGCGUUAAGUAAUCCACCUGGGGAGUACGUUCGCAAGAAUGAAACUCAAAUGAAUUGGCGGGG